Molecule: ribosomal RNA, 484 nt
Filed under: uncultured bacterium
Lineage: Bacteria
Description: partial 16S ribosomal RNA
Rfam family: Bacterial small subunit ribosomal RNA
Source: RNAcentral
AUUGAACGCUGGCGGCAUGCUUUACACAUGCAAGUCGAACGGCAGCGCGGGCUUCGGCCUGGCGGCGAGUGGCGAACGGGUGAGUAAUGCAUCGGAACGUGCCCAGUAGUGGGGGAUAGCCCGGCGAAAGCCGGAUUAAUACCGCAUACGACCUGAGGGUGAAAGCGGGGGACCGAAAGGCCUCGCGCUAUUGGAGCGGCCGAUGUCGGAUUAGCUAGUUGGUGGGGUAAAGGCUUACCAAGGCGACGAUCCGUAGCUGGUCUGAGAGGACGACCAGCCACACUGGGACUGAGACACGGCCCAGACUCCUACGGGAGGCAGCAGUGGGGAAUUUUGGACAAUGGGGGCAAGCCUGAUCCAGCCAUGCCGCGUGCGGGAAGAAGGCCUUCGGGUUGUAAAGCGCUUUUGUUGGGGAAGAAAUCCUCUGGGCUAAUACCCCGGGGGGAUGACGGUACCGGAAGAAUAAGCACCGGCUAACUACGUG